AGGUCAAGCUAAUAAGGGCUAACGGUGGAUACCUAGGCACACGGAAGCGAAGAAGGACGUAGUUACCGACGAAACGCUUCGGGGAGCGGGAAGCAAGCAUUGAUCCGAAGAUAUCCGAAUGGGGCAACCCUAAACACGACCACCUGAAUACAUAGGGUGGAGCGAGCAAACCUGGUGAACUGAAACAUCUUAGUAGCCAGAGGAAAAGAAAGCAACAGCGAUUCCCCCAGUAGCGGCGAGCGAAAAGGGAACAGCCUAAACCAAGUUCUUCGGAACUUGGGGUCGUGGGACAGUAACAAAAGACUGGGAAAUUUAGACGAAGCGGCUGAAAACCGCACCAGAGAGGGUGAAAGUCCUGUAGUCGAAAAAGGAACCAGCUUAACUGCAUCCCGAGUAGCAUGGGGCACGUGAAAUCCCGUGUGAAUCUGCCUCGACCACGAGGUAAGGCUAAAUAUUCCCGUGUGACCGAUAGAGAAACAGUACCGCGAGGGAAAGGUGAAAAGAACCCCGGAAGGGGAGUGAAAUAGAACAUGAAACCGUUAGCCUACAAGCAAUGGGAGGACGAUUGAACGUCUGACCGUGUGCCUGUUGAAGAAUGAGCCGGCGACUUACAGGUUAUGGCAGGUGAAGGGGGAAGACCCCACAGCCCUAGCGAAAGCGAGUCUGAAUAGGGCGAAACGUCAUAAUUUGUAGACCCGAACCCGGGUGAUCUAACCAUGGCCAGGAUGAAGCUUGGGUAAAACCAAGUGGAGGUCCGAACCGACUAAUGUUGAAAAAUUAGCGGAUGAGCUGUGGUUAGGGGUGAAAUGCCAAUCGAACUCGGAGCUAGCUGGUUCUCCCCGAAAUGUGUUGAGGCGCAGCGGUAGUGGAAGUUUAGUCGGGGUAAAGCACUGUUUCGCCGCGGGCUGGGAGACCGGUACCAAGGCGAGGCAAACUCUGAAUACGGCUAAAAAAACUACCAGUGAGACGGUGGGGGAUAAGCUUCAUCGUCAAGAGGGAAACAGCCCAGACCACCAGCUAAGGUCCCCAAAUGAUAACUAAGUGAGAAAGGAGGUGGGAGUGCAUUGACAACCAGGAGGUUUGCCUAGAAGCAGCAAUCCUUAAAAGAGUGCGUAAUAGCUCACUGGUCAAGCGCUCCUGCGCCGAAAAUGAACGGGGCUAAGUUAUCUACCGAAGCUGUGGACUACAUUGUAGUGGUAGGGGAGCGUUCUAUAGGGGGUGAAGCAGUAGCGGCAAGCAGCUGUGGACUCUAUAGAAGUGAGAAUGUCGGCUUAAGUAGCGAAAAUGUGGGUGAGAAUCCCACACCCCGAAACCCCAAGGUUUCCUCCGCAAGGCUCGUCCGCGGAGGGUCAGUCAGGACCUAAGGCGAGGCUGAAAAGCGUAGUCGAUGGACAACGGGUUAACAUUCCCGUACCGAUUAAUGAUUGUGCCGGAGAACGGAGAAGGUCAACGUCAGCUGGAUGUUGGUUACCAGUGCAAGCAGUCGAGGCGAUGAGAGGUGGAGAAAACACCAGGAGCUAAGACGCGAGUCCCACCUCCCACGGGAGGGAAGUGGCGUUGAUCAAGCUUCCUAGAAAAGCCCGAACCACGUUAAUCAUUAAUUGCCUGUACCCGAAACCGACACAGGUGGGGAAGUAGAGAAUACUAAGGGGCGCGAGAUAACUCUCUCUAAGGAACUCGGCAAAAUGACCCCGUAACUUCGGGAGAAGGGGUACCCUCGCAAGAGGGUCGCAGUGAAUAGGCCCAGGCGACUGUUUACCAAAAACACAGGUCUCCGCCAAGUCGUAAGACGCAGUAUGGAGGCUGACGCCUGCCCAGUGCCGGAAGGUUAAGGAAGUUGGUCAGGAGUAAUCUGAAGCUGACGACCGAAGCCCCGGUGAACGGCGGCCGUAACUAUAACGGUCCUAAGGUAGCGAAAUUCCUUGUCGGGUAAGUUCCGACCCGCACGAAAGGCGUAACGAUCUGGGCACUGUCUCGGAGAGAGACUCGGCGAAAUAGGAUUGUCUGUGAAGAUACGGACUACCUGCACCUGGACAGAAAGACCCUAUGAAGCUUUACUGUAGCCUGGAAUUGGCUUCGGGCUUCGCUUGCGCAGGAUAGGUGGGAAGCUUUGAAACUCUCCUCGUGGGGAGGGUGGAGCUAACGGUGAGAUACCACUCUGGCGAGGCUAGAAUUCUAACCCUGACCCCUAAUCGGGGCGGGAGACAGUUUCAGGUGGGCAGUUUGACUGGGGCGGUCGCCUCCUAAAAGGUAACGGAGGCGCGCAAAGGUUCCCUCGGUCCCGUUGGAAAUGGGACGAUAGAGUGCAAAAGCAGAAGGGAGCUUGACUGUGAGACCCACAAGUCGAACAGGGACGAAAGUCGGCUUUAGUGAUCCGACGGCACCGCGUGGAAGGGCCGUCGCUCAACGGAUAAAAGUUACUCUAGGGAUAACAGGCUGAUCUCCCCCAAGAGUUCACAUCGACGGGGAGGUUUGGCACCUCGAUGUCGGCUCAUCGCAACCUGGGGCUGAAGUCGGUCCCAAGGGUUGGGCUGUUCGCCCAUUAAAGCGGUACGUGAGCUGGGUUCAGAACGUCGUGAGACAGUUCGGUCCAUAUCCGGUGUAGGCGUAAGAGCAUUGCGAGGAGCCUUCCUUAGUACGAGAGGACCGGGAAGGACGCACCGCUGGUGUACCUGUUAUCGUGCCAACGGUAAACGCAGGGUAGCCAUGUGCGGAGCGGAUAACCGCUGAAAGCAUCUAAGUGGGAAGCCCACCUCCAGAUGAUUGCUCUCAUGGCAUUAAGCCAGUAAGGUCUCGGGUAGACUACCCGUUGAUAGGCUCUAGAUGGAAGCUCGGUAACGAGUGCAGUCGAGGAGUACUAACCGACCGAGGGCUUGACCUG
RNAcentral lists this ribosomal RNA (2881 nucleotides) under Microcystis aeruginosa NIES-98. RNAcentral describes it as "LSU rRNA". It matches the Rfam family "Bacterial large subunit ribosomal RNA". Lineage: Bacteria; Bacillati; Cyanobacteriota; Cyanophyceae; Chroococcales; Microcystaceae. The record is from RNAcentral.